GCGGGGGUUGCCGAGUCUGGUCAAAGGCGCAGGCUUCAGGAGCCUGUCCCGUAGGGGUUCGUGGGUUCAAAUCCCACCCCCCGCA
RNAcentral lists this transfer RNA (85 nucleotides) under Candidatus Bathyarchaeota archaeon. RNAcentral describes it as "tRNA-Leu". It matches the Rfam family "tRNA". From Rfam's summary of the family: Transfer RNA (tRNA) molecules are approximately 80 nucleotides in length. Lineage: Archaea; Thermoproteati; Candidatus Bathyarchaeota. The record is from RNAcentral. RNAcentral also lists the same sequence under 1 other name.